AACCUACCUAUAAGACUGGGAUAACUUCGGGAAACCGGAGCUAAUACCGGAUAACAUAUUGAACCGCAUGGUUCAAUAGUGAAAGGCGGCUUUGCUGUCACUUAUAGAUGGAUCCGCGCCGUAUUAGCUAGUUGGUAAGGUAACGGCUUACCAAGGCAACGAUACGUAGCCGACCUGAGAGGGUGAUCGGCCACACUGGAACUGAGACACGGUCCAGACUCCUACGGGAGGCAGCAGUAGGGAAUCUUCCGCAAUGGGCGAAAGCCUGACGGAGCAACGCCGCGUGAGUGAUGAAGGUCUUCGGAUCGUAAAACUCUGUUAUCAGGGAAGAACAAAUGUGUAAGUAAUUGUGCACAUCUUGACGGUACCUGAUCAGAAAGCCACGGCUAACUACGUGCCAGCAGCCGCGGUAAUACGUAGGUGGCAAGCGUUAUCCGGAAUUAUUGGGCGUAAAGCGCGCGUAGGCGGUUUCUUAAGUCUGAUGUGAAAGCCCACGGCUCAACCGUGGAGGGUCAUUGGAAACUGGAAAACUUGAGUGCAGAAGAGGAAAGUGGAAUUCCAUGUGUAGCGGUGAAAUGCGCAGAGAUAUGGAGGAACACCAGUGGCGAAGGCGACUUUCUGGUCUGUAACUGACGCUGAUGUGCGAAAGCGUGGGGAUCAAACAGGAUUAGAUACCCUGGUAGUCCACGCCGUAAACGAUGAGUGCUAAGUGUUAGGGGGUUUCCGCCCCUUAGUGCUGCAGCUAACGCAUUAAGCACUCCGCCUGGGGAGUACGACCGCAAGGUUGAAACUCAAAGGAAUUGACGGGGACCCGCACAAGCGGUGGAGCAUGUGGUUUAA
RNAcentral lists this ribosomal RNA (840 nucleotides) under Staphylococcus warneri. RNAcentral describes it as "bacterial SSU rRNA". It matches the Rfam family "Bacterial small subunit ribosomal RNA", at positions 123 to 949 of the family's 1533-position model. Lineage: Bacteria; Bacillati; Bacillota; Bacilli; Caryophanales; Staphylococcaceae. The record is from RNAcentral.